UACGGAGGGUGCAAGCGUUAUCCGGAUUCACUGGGUUUAAAGGGUGCGUAGGUGGGCAGGUAAGUCAGUGGUGAAAUCUCUGGGCUUAACCCGGAACUGCCGUUGAUACUAUCUGUCUUGAAUGUAGUGGAGGUGAGCGGAAUAUGUCAUGUAGCGGUGAAAUGCUUAGAUAUGACAUAGAACAUCGAUUGCGAAGGCAGCUCGCUACACUAUGAUUGACACUGAGGCACGAAAGCGUGGGGAUCAAACAGG
This 252-nucleotide ribosomal RNA is filed under the name uncultured bacterium. RNAcentral's name for it is "partial 16S ribosomal RNA". It matches the Rfam family "Bacterial small subunit ribosomal RNA", at positions 524 to 776 of the family's 1533-position model. The record is from RNAcentral.